This 253-nucleotide ribosomal RNA is filed under the name uncultured bacterium. RNAcentral's name for it is "partial 16S ribosomal RNA". It matches the Rfam family "Bacterial small subunit ribosomal RNA", at positions 524 to 776 of the family's 1533-position model. The record is from RNAcentral.
UACAGAGGUCUCAAGCGUUGUUCGGAUUCAUUGGGCGUAAAGGGCGUGUAGGUGGCGCCGUAAGUCGGGUGUGAAAUUUCGGAGCUUAACUCCGAAACUGCAUUCGAUACUGCGGUGCUUGAGGACUGGAGAGGGGACUGGAAUUCAUGGUGUAGCAGUGAAAUGCGUAGAGAUCAUGAGGAAGACCAGUGGCGAAGGCGGGUCUCUGGACAGUUCCUGACACUGAGGCACGAAGGCCAGGGGAGCAAACGGG